CAUUUUCAAGAUUUCCUUAUCUGACAUAUCCCGAGCCAUCCUGACUGUAAGAGGAAAUCAAGACCAAAACAUUAAAAUUUCACAACAAAUGCCGACAACUGAUGAGGUCGACACAGGAUUGGACCUGAUGUCACCAAUCCCCCGUGAUGAGAUUAAACAAUAAGGAGCCGUAACCCCUGAACAGGAAGGAGGAAGGUUAGAGAUCCUUACAGAUCUGCAGAUGAGGUGGAGAAAGUGAGACACCGAAA
This is a long non-coding RNA of Sander lucioperca (pikeperch), 248 nucleotides long. RefSeq lists it as uncharacterized. The transcript is spliced from 2 exons. NCBI's taxonomy places the organism in Eukaryota, Metazoa, Chordata, Actinopteri, Perciformes, Percidae. The record is from RefSeq and is a predicted model, not a curated record.